ACCUUAUCAAGAGCGGCGGAGGGACUGGCCCGAUGAAGCCCGGCAACCACUGUACCAUGUACAGCAAGGUGCCAAUUCCUACAAAAUCCAUGCAAAGGAUUUUGGAAGAUGAGGA
This 115-nucleotide non-coding RNA is filed under the name Brevibacillus panacihumi. Its description in RNAcentral is "SAM-I sequence". It matches the Rfam family "SAM riboswitch aptamer (S box leader)". Rfam says of the family: The SAM riboswitch is found upstream of a number of genes which code for proteins involved in methionine or cysteine biosynthesis in Gram-positive bacteria. The record is from RNAcentral. Lineage: Bacteria; Bacillati; Bacillota; Bacilli; Caryophanales; Paenibacillaceae. RNAcentral also lists the same sequence under 1 other name.